UGAAACCUUGUGUUUUUGAACUAUUACAGACCAGCGGUGGUUUAUUAGGAGCACGUCAAGCACGUUGUACAUUUGACGGGGAAUACGAAGAGAUUCAAUGUCAUGUUAGAGAAUGUUGGUGCGUUGACAAAAAUGGAAUUGAAAGAAUGGGAACACGAGUAUCCAUGAUAACUUGGGAGAGAUCACUUGUUUGUUAAGAUUGUAAAAGUUCCGGCAAUGUGGUCGAAAGGAGUUAUAACUCAUAUUCCGAAAAGCUCCACAUUAGAUACUAGGCACCUGAUGAGAUUGUCUGAUUUUGUGAUGAACUGAAUGGUUUUUGGAAUAGAUGUUGUACUGUCGACCAUUUAAGUAAACUAAUUAUGACAGAAAAGAUCUGGAAGUCUUCGUAAACAAUGACCUGAUGUAUAUUUACCUUUCAAAAUUCCGAUGAUUCGAUAAAUAUAAAUUUGUUAUUUGGAAAUUAAAACAAA
Molecule: long non-coding RNA, 470 nt
Organism: Mytilus californianus (California mussel)
Lineage: Eukaryota; Metazoa; Mollusca; Bivalvia; Mytilida; Mytilidae
Exons: 2
Source: RefSeq, a predicted model, not a curated record